GGUUCAUUCAAAUUUCUGCCCUAUCAACUUUCGACGGCUGGGUCUUGGCCAGCCAUGGUGACAACGGGUAACGGAGGGUUAGGGCUCGACCCCGGAGAAGGAGCCUGAGAAACGGCUACUACAUCCAAGGAAGGCAGCAGGCGCGCAAAUUACCCAAUCCCGACCGGGGAGGUAGUGACAAUAAAUACUGAUACAGGGCUCUUUUGGGUCUUGUAAUUGGAAUGAGUACAAUUUAAAUCCCUUAACGAGGAACAAUUGGAGGGCAAGUCUGGUGCCAGCAGCCGCGGUAAUUCCAGCUCCAAUAGCGUAUAUUAAAGUUGUUGCGGUUAAAAAGCUCGUAGUUG
This 344-nucleotide ribosomal RNA is filed under the name uncultured fungus. RNAcentral's name for it is "SSU rRNA". It matches the Rfam family "Eukaryotic small subunit ribosomal RNA", at positions 292 to 636 of the family's 1831-position model. Lineage: Eukaryota; Fungi. The record is from RNAcentral.